GAUGAACGCUGGCGGCGUGCCUAAUACAUGCAAGUCGAGCGAACGGACGAGAAGCUUGCUUCUCUGAUGUUAGCGGCGGACGGGUGAGUAACACGUGGAUAACCUACCUAUAAGACUGGGAUAACUUCGGGAAACCGGAGCUAAUACCGGAUAAUAUUUUGAACCGCAUGGUUCAAAAGUGAAAGACGGUCUUGCUGUCACUUAUAGAUGGAUCCGCGCUGCAUUAGCUAGUUGGUAAGGUAACGGCUUACCAAGGCAACGAUGCAUAGCCGACCUGAGAGGGUGAGCGGCCACACUGGAACUGAGACCCGGUCCAGACUCCUACGGGAGGCAGCAGUAGGGAAUCUUCCGCAAUGGGCGAAAGCCUGACGGAGCAACGCCGCGUGAGUGAUGAAGGUCUUCGGAUCGUAAAACUCUGUUAUUAGGGAAGAACAUAUGUGUAAGUAACUGUGCACAUCUUGACGGUACCUAAUCAGAAAGCCACGGCUAACUACG
Molecule: ribosomal RNA, 495 nt
Filed under: uncultured bacterium
Lineage: Bacteria
Description: partial 16S ribosomal RNA
Rfam family: Bacterial small subunit ribosomal RNA
Source: RNAcentral